Molecule: long non-coding RNA, 842 nt
Organism: Pantherophis guttatus
Lineage: Eukaryota; Metazoa; Chordata; Lepidosauria; Squamata; Colubridae
Source: RefSeq, a predicted model, not a curated record
UGAAGUCCACAAGGCAUAAAGGGGACAUAGUUCCCCACCUCUGGUGUAGACCAACCUUUCAAAUUCCAAAAUGUCACUGUCCUACUUUAUGGCCCACAGCCAACACUGAAUAUGCAGAAGGUGUUAACUACAUGAUCCUUACAGUCUGGGAUCUUCCUGACAAGCAGCAGUUUUCAAUCAAAAAGCCAAGAAAGAAGUCAACUCUAGCCUUCAAGCCAAGAGACUAAGCCAGCAAUAUCUACUGAUGGUGGGAAAUGCUAAGCCAAGAACUUCUGGACACUCAAAAUAGCAAGUUCAUAAUGUCUUGCUGAAGCUGUGCCGGAGAAGACAGUCAAGCAGCCAUUCCUCCAUCUCUUGUGGAAAUCAUUCUAAAGGAAUUAAAAUUGAGUAAAGUGGAGGGGAAAGGAGUUGGAGGAAGAUGGGAAAUGUAUCUCCAGCUCCUUUUUUACAUGAAUCACAAUGCAUAUAAACAGAUCCAUUGCACAAUAUGAUACUCGUUGUGAUGAUCUACGGUAAAGCAGUAGACUCCCAAGAAAGAAGAAGAACAUUCCAAAGAGGGAGCUCAAGCAAGAGAGGAGCUGGAGGAGGAAGAGAGAGAGAGAAAAAAAAAGAAGUACAGCUUUGAAUAAGUUCACUUUCGACAGCAAAGAGUAAUGCCAACACCAACAUCAUUUCCAGAACAGAUGGAGUGACAUAUGCCAAACAUCCAUACCUGUCAUUUGAUUUCUUAGGACCAUACUUUUACAUUGACCAUUUCCAAAGAAAGAUUUAACCAUUCGGUUUCAAAGUCCGGCACUUCCUCAGAAUAAAGAGCAACAUACUUUUAAAAAAGUAAAUGGAAA